AUGCCGUCGGUUUCGAGGGCCGUGUGCUUGCAGAGGCCGACCACGAGCGGCGGCGGGAGGAGCAGGGAGGCGGCCCGAUCGGUGGCGUCGCCGAGAGCCCGUCACGCGAAAUCGAAGACGAUGAUCCACCCGGCGCGGGGCCGGCAUUGCUCGCCUCCCAACGCAGUCGCGGCGCCUAUGCCCGCCACAAAGAAGAGGGUGUUCCACUUCGGCAAGGGCAAGAGCGAGGGCAACAAGGCCAUGAAGGACCUGCUGGGCGGGAAGGGCGCCAACUUGGCGGAGAUGGCGAGCAUCGGGCUGUCGGUGCCGCCGGGGUUCACGGUGUCGACGGAGGCGUGCGAGCAGUACCAGGCGGCGGGGAAGGCGCUGCCGCCGGGGCUGUGGGAGGAGACCCUGGAGGGCCUGAAGUGGGUGGAGGAGUACAUGGGCGCGCGCCUCGGCGACCCCGCGCGGCCGCUGCUCCUCUCCGUCCGCUCCGGCGCCGCGGUGUCCAUGCCCGGCAUGAUGGACACGGUGCUCAACCUGGGGCUCAACGACGAGGUGGCCGCCGGGCUGGCGGCCAAGAGCGGCGACCGCUUCGCCUACGACUCGUACCGCCGCUUCCUCGACAUGUUCGGCAACGUCGUCAUGGACAUUCCCCAUGCGCUUUUCGAAGAGAAGCUCGAAGCCAUGAAAGCAGCCAAGGGGGUGGACAACGACACCGACCUCACUGCCAAUGACCUCAGGGAGCUAGUGGGUCAGUACAAGAACGUCUACGUUGAAGCCAAAGGGGAACAAUUUCCCUCAGAUCCCAAGAGGCAACUGCAGUUAGCGGUGUUGGCCGUGUUCGACUCGUGGGACAGUCCGAGAGCGAACAAGUACAGAAGCAUUAAUCAGAUCACCGGACUUAGGGGCACCGCCGUGAACGUGCAGUGCAUGGUGUUUGGCAACAUGGGGAACACCUCCGGAACAGGUGUCCUCUUCACUAGGAACCCUAGCACUGGAGAGAAGAAGCUUUAUGGCGAGUUCCUAGUCAAUGCUCAGGGUGAGGAUGUGGUUGCUGGAAUCAGAACCCCGGAGGAUCUUGAUGCCAUGAGGGAUCACAUGCCGGAGGCCUAUACAGAGCUUGUUGAAAACUGUGAAAUACUGGAGAGCCACUAUAAGGAAAUGAUGGAUAUUGAAUUUACAGUUCAAGAAAAUAGGCUCUGGAUGCUACAAUGCAGAUCCGGAAAGCGUACUGGCACAGGAGCUGUGAAGAUUGCUGUAGACAUGGUUAAUGAGGCUCUUGUUGAUCGCAAUACAGCGAUUAAGAUGGUAGAACCAGGUCACUUGGACCAGCUUCUUCAUCCACAGUUUGCGAACCCUGAGGCUGCUUCAUACAAAGGCAAAGUUAUUACUACAGGCUUACCAGCAUCACCUGGGGCUGCUGUGGGACAAAUUGUAUUUACUGCCGAGGAUGCUGAAGCAUGGCAUGCCCAAGGGAAAUCUGCAAUUCUGGUGAGGACAGAGACCAGCCCAGAAGAUGUUGGUGGCAUGCAUGCAGCCGCUGGAAUUCUUACAGCAAGAGGUGGUAUGACUUCUCAUGCUGCCGUUGUAGCACGUGGUUGGGGAAAAUGCUGUGUGUCAGGGUGCUCAAGCAUGCGUGUAAAUGAAAUUGAAAAGGUGGUAGCUAUUGAAGACAAGAUGCUCUAUGAAGGUGACUGGAUAUCACUCAAUGGAUCAACUGGUGAAGUGAUCCUUGGCAAACAGCCACUUUCCCCACCAGCCCUUAGUGCUGACUUGGAAACUUUCAUGUCCUGGGUUGAUGAAGUUAGGCAGCUCAAGGUUAUGGCUAAUGCAGACACCCCCGGGGAUGCAUUGGCAGCAAGGAAAAAUGGGGCAGAAGGAAUUGGACUCUGUCGGACAGAACACAUGUUCUUUGCUUCUGAUGAGAGAAUUAAGGCUGUGAGGCAGAUGAUAAUGGCUCCAACUGUCGAACUGAGGCAGAAAGCACUAGAUCGUCUUCUGCCUUACCAGAGGUCCGACUUUGAAGGCAUUUUCCGUGCCAUGGAUGGGCUCCCGGUGACUAUUCGGCUGUUGGACCCUCCACUUCAUGAGUUCCUUCCAGAAGGGCAUGUGGAGGAUAUUGUGCGUGAGCUAUGUGCUGAAACUGGAGCCGCUGAGGAUGAUGUCCUUGCAAGAAUGGAGAAACUUUCAGAAGUAAAUCCAAUGCUUGGUUUCCGUGGUUGCAGGCUUGGUAUAUCCUAUCCUGAAUUAACAGAAAUGCAAGCCCGGGCCAUCUUUGAAGCUGCUAUAUCCAUGACCAACCAGGGUAUUCAAGUAUUUCCAGAGAUAAUGGUUCCUCUUGUUGGAACACCUCAGGAAUUGGGACAUCAGGUGGCUCUUAUCCGCCAAAUUGCUAACAAUGUUUUCACCAAUAUGGGGAAAACCAUUGAUUACAAAGUUGGGACUAUGAUUGAAAUUCCCAGGGCUGCUCUAGUGGCAGAUGAGAUAGCAGAGCAGGCUGAGUUCUUCUCUUUCGGAACAAACGACCUCACGCAGAUGACAUUUGGUUACAGUAGGGAUGAUGUGGGGAAGUUCCUCCCCAUCUAUCUGGCUCAGGGUAUCCUCCAGCAUGACCCAUUUGAGGUGCUUGAUCAGAGAGGAGUGGGGGAGCUAGUAAAGAUUGCUACAGAGAGGGGUCGCAAAGCGAGGCCUAACUUGAAGGUGGGCAUCUGCGGUGAACAUGGUGGAGAGCCAUCUUCAGUUGCUUUUUUCGCAAAGGCUGGGCUGGAUUAUGUUUCAUGCUCCCCGUUCAGGGUCCCGAUUGCUAGGCUAGCUGCAGCCCAGGUCCUUGUCUGA
Molecule: ribosomal RNA, 2820 nt
Filed under: Triticum aestivum (bread wheat)
Lineage: Eukaryota; Viridiplantae; Streptophyta; Magnoliopsida; Poales; Poaceae
Description: partial small subunit ribosomal RNA
Source: RNAcentral